UACGGAGGAUCCGAGCGUUAUCCGGAUUUAUUGGGUUUAAAGGGUGCGCAGGCGGGAGAUUAAGUCGGCGGUGAAAUUUUGCAGCUCAACUGUAAAAGUGCCUUCGAAACUGGUUUCCUUGAGUGUAGAUGAAGUAGGCGGAAUUUGUGGUGUAGCGGUGAAAUGCAUAGAUAUCACGAGGAACUCCGAUUGCGCAGGCAGCUUACUAAACCGCUACUGACGCUCAGGCACGAAGGCGUGGGGAGUCAAACAGGAUUAGAUACCCCGGUACGGU
This 274-nucleotide ribosomal RNA is filed under the name uncultured prokaryote. Its description in RNAcentral is "partial 16S ribosomal RNA". It matches the Rfam family "Bacterial small subunit ribosomal RNA", at positions 524 to 794 of the family's 1533-position model. The record is from RNAcentral.